UGGAUCUGUGGCAGCGCGGCGUAGUGAGGCGGGAGGCACGCCGACCGGGAGUGGGAGGAGGUGGUGGGGUGGGGCGUCGCGGUGGUCGGGGCCAUCCCGUGGUCGCCGGCAGCCUGGCAGGUGGUGGCCGAUGACGGGGCUGGAGGUAGGUGAUGGUGGGGUGGGGUGUCGUGCUGCAUAGGGGGAGGGAGGUUGGUGGAGGAGUGGAGCUCGGGGGAGAGUGGUGGGUGGUCGUGCGAGAAGGGGUGGGAUUUUUGUUCAGGGCAGUUCUGUCGUCGUUAGUCUGUAGCUACCGUGCGGGUCGUAGGUGUUAUCAUAAUAAGCUGGGUGUUAUUAGAACUAGAUGAUACCCCACGCGUUGCUACGGGAUCUCUUUGUUAGCAUUAAAUGUAGAACAGAAACUAAAUAGAACAUCAAACCAACACUAAAAAUUCCAAUGUCAACAUUGUAAUAGUAAAGAGAAUUGACUUUCUGUUGGUAGCAGACUGGGUCAUGUGGAUAGAUGGGCAGAGUACAAAUAGUGGGGCUGAACUUCUUAGGUAUAUAGGAUAAGAGAAUGCCAAAGUCUCAGAGUACAACGACAAAGAAAUGACCGUACAACAACCAAAAACAGUUUUAAAAAACAUCCAAAAAGGAAACAACAGAAACAGUUGAACUACCACUUACGACGACCGACAUGGCCAGAAAAUGACCAGGAACUAAAUCUUUCCUAACCAGUAGCUAGCAUCAGCUUUCAGCUAGCUCAUAACCUGAAUAAACGGCGUAGCCAAGGACCAUUUGCCAGACACAAACUUGGUUUUUUUGUUCUGCAUUUGUUCAACAGUGAAAAGGACCAGGUUGCGAACUUGAUGAUUGUCAAUCUCUUAAGAAAUGAGCUGGAUAAGGUUUGCAAGCAUGGGAACAUACUAAGAAAGAUAGCAUGCCACCAUGCAUGCCCUACGAAAUUUAGUUAUCACAACAUGCAACUAUGCCAACGCACCAUGUCAUUAUGCAUGACCAAAACUCACAUUAACAUGCACCGUGCAUGCUACUCAUCUUCAAUACAUAUUCUACAAACAUAUACUAAUAAAUUGUCUAUAGUUUAGUUCAUAUUUUCAUAUUGCUAAUACAAAAACUAAUUACAAACAACAUCAGAUCUACCCAGUCACCAUCGGUAGGAAGCUCACCAAGUGUUAAGUCCAUACAGGUCUUGUCCAUUAUCCCCAAACCUGCAGAAAUCAGAUACACCAACUAUGACACCACCAGACUAACUGAAAAGAUGUCCGGGUGAGUGGGUUCUUCAGAUCUUCAAAACUCCAAUAAAGAACUUUUGAUUCCCAUUCAUUAAGACUUAUUCUGGUUUCAUAUCAGAGUAUAAAUUGAAGCAAACAGUAUACUUUGAAUCGAUCAGCAAAACAUGGACCAAUGAAUGGCUACUUCAUAAAUAGAAGACUGAUUAACAUGCCCACAACAUAUCCUCUAUGGAGAUCAAUAUGGUGGGUGAGCGUACAAUUCUGAAGAUAUAAAAAAAGCAAAAAGCGACCACAUCUAUUAGAUGCCAGCCUACGUCCAUUGUUGUCCAUCAAGUACAAUUGUUCUUUUUUCAAUGGAAAAUGUGCUAAUUUUUGGAAUAGAGGUUGCUAGAUGAUACACUGGUUGAAAAGAUAAUCAAGAUAAAACGUGUGUUAAAUAAUUGUACUUCUCACAGAACUGAUGAAGAAGCCUCUCCCAAUUGGAAAAUAUUUCUUGUCGAAUUUCUCAUUAGGAUCGUAAAGCACAACCUGCAAUGGUAUAUAUGAGAUUAAUUUAGGAGGACUCAACAUCACUACUAAUCAUAGGUGAAUGCAUCAAAUACUCGAUAAGCAUGCAACCAAAAGGAAUGAUAGAUAGAUAUACACAUUGUAAAUAAAAAAUAGAUCGCUCCAGCUAUCCCCAUAGAACUUACCUAUAUUUUUUAAAAUGGGGAGAACAUAUAUACAAAAUAGUUCCAUCAACCUUAUCUUGAGCCAAGGCUUAUGUACAAACAAUUACACGUGCCAUAAACAUCCUUACAUCCGUAUGAUUGAACAGGAAAUCAAUAUUUUGCCCAAGCUAUGUACAUCCAUAAGACUACAUAGCAAAGAUGUGGAGGACAAAUAUGGUAAUUAUAAUUUCGUUGGAUCUGUAACAAUCCCUUGACUGCAAACAUGGAGAGAAAUACAGUUCCAUGAAAGUGUAAUCAUCACGGCUGAAUCUGUAACGAUGGCUGCCUGUAAACAACACUAAGAGAGGUAAAAUCCCACAGAAGUGUAUUUAUCCACAUAGCAGAUCAAGAUGAGCCAUAGUACUGGCUCAUGUAUCAUCAUAAAUACUAUUAUUAUUCACCGUGUAGAUUGGGGAAAGAUGAACAUGCGUCCUGCAGUGUCAAAUUGUUGCAAAAACAAAAACCAAUCUGUAAUUGUGUCAAUUAGGUGUGAACGCAAAAAAACUGACCGCUUCCUCCUAGUAAAUCCAAACAACUUCGAUGCAAACAAUUGAAUCUCCCUUGUGGGUGAAGUCGCCUCGAAUCCUUGAUGCGAGGUUUCCUUGCGCAUCACCUCAUAGAUCUGGAGGAGGCGAAGCAUGUGCCUCGCCGGUGCUUGUAGUGGAGCGCGGGGGGCGGGGUAUGGCACAGCAAGAGAAGCAGAGGGGGAUGGGGAGGGCCGGAGGAGAAGUAGAGAGAUGUGUCUGAAGGAAUGAGAGGAGACGGGCUGGUGGCGAGAGGUGGGGGACAGACGAUGAGAUAAUAGAUGCGUUCGGGAGAUGGAAACGGAAAGCAAAGUCGAUUGGGCUUCUU
This 2794-nucleotide ribosomal RNA is filed under the name Triticum aestivum (bread wheat). RNAcentral's name for it is "partial small subunit ribosomal RNA". Lineage: Eukaryota; Viridiplantae; Streptophyta; Magnoliopsida; Poales; Poaceae. The record is from RNAcentral.